Molecule: long non-coding RNA, 1528 nt
Organism: Ictalurus punctatus (channel catfish)
Lineage: Eukaryota; Metazoa; Chordata; Actinopteri; Siluriformes; Ictaluridae
Exons: 4
Source: RefSeq, a predicted model, not a curated record
AUGUGUUUACAGUUCCAUCUCCUUCAACAUCACAACUGCAGCCACAUCAGUCAAUUUCUGGCAACCGGCAGAAUCAAGGAAGUGUGAAUGAUCCACAAUCUCUUCGAGUUGUUUGGAGAGGAGAAUCAUGCUGAAACUAGAACAAAUCCAGGACAACAUCACAGCAGCGUUAGGAACAAUGCAGCAGUCAAUGAGCCAGCCAAGCACAUCUGUCUCUGAUCUUAUAGAGGUGCUUAGAGGUGCCUUGUAAGACUGUGGAGGAAUUAAAAGAGCUGUGUGAUAAGCUGAAAGUUGCUGACUUUCGAAAGAAGAUGGUAUGUGCCACGACACAAGCAACAUUACGAGUCAUUGUUAACCUGAAAUCAUUUAAAACAAUUUACUCUUGUGAUUAAUUGCUGAAUGUUGUUUGUAGAUUCGUUAUCUGUGUCUUCAGAGUGGAGGCAGCUUGGGAGAUGGAAUUAGGAGGAUGCUGAAAAAAAUUACAGUUACAAAGGGAGAAAGGGAAAACGUAAAUUUCAGCAGCUCCUAAUCAAUGAUGUCAUCACACAUAAGUUUCAAAACUUGUCACUAAUAACUAAUAAUGUGUCUGUGUCAAUACCCAAGAUCUCAAAAAUGUUUUGGAAUGCAGAAAGGUUGUAAAUAAGAAUGUACAUUGUAAAUGUAAAAGUUGUUAUUUCUCAGUACAUAAAUAUUCAUACCAUGGUCUAUUAUGAAAACAAGAGUAAUGUUGAUGCUUUUUGAAUAGAACUUUAGUCUGAGUUCUAGUUUAAAUAACUGUGAUCUCUGUAUUGACUCAAGGUGGCUGCAGUAAGGCAUACUCACACCAAAAUCCCAGAGUGUGGAGGAAAUGAUUGCUGUGACCCUAAAACAUGCCCCAUAUCAUGCAAAAACAGCAAAGGAGGUUAGAAGCCAACGAGAAGAAUUGCCAUCAGAAUAACCCCGACCACAGCUGACAACCAGACACACACACACACACAUACACACACACACACAAACACACGGAAAGAGCACAGCACCUUUACAAUUGUUCAAUUAAAAUAAAUGUACUUUGUUCCUUACAAUUUGUCACGUGUGUUUUCUCUGGUUAGCCGAAAAGUAAAAAUAAAAUGAAGUUGGGGUGCUUCUGUGAAUCACUGUGCUGUAUCCUUAAAACAGCACAUGAACACAACACUUUAAAUGCUGUAAUCCAUACAAUGCUGUUCAGCUUUAUGUGACGAAUAGUGACAUGAAUGCCUUAAAAUAAAGUAAUAAGUACUUUCUGAACUACUUCUCAACUUAUUUGUCUUUUCUUUCCAGUAAAAGACUGCAUUAAGUCUGUUCCUUUCUCUUACUCAUGACAUCACCAGUGUUAAAUUAAAUGUGAGUGCAAAAAGGCCUCUGUUAUUUAUAUUUGAAAAGGUCACUGCAUUAAGUUUCAAUUUAUUACUGAAGAUGCACCGAUGUAAAAGGCUAUUUUUCCCCGCUAUGGGCUAUCGGCCGAUAGUUUAAAAACAUCCGAUGAUCAGGGCCGAUUACAUCCUGUCAAUCA